UACGUAGGUGACAAGCGUUGUCCGGAUUACUGGGCGUAAAGAGCGCGCAGGCGGUCGUUCAAGUCGAGUGUGAAAGCCCCCGGCUCAACUGGGGAGGGUCAUUCGAUACUGAUCGACUCGAAGGCAGGAGAGGGAAGUGGAAUUCCCGGUGAUAGCGGUGAAAUGCGUAGAUAUCGGGAGGAACACCAGUGGCGAAGGCGGCGAUCUGGGAAGAUACUGACGCUGAGGUGCGAAAGCGUGGGAGCAAACAGG
RNAcentral lists this ribosomal RNA (252 nucleotides) under uncultured bacterium. Its description in RNAcentral is "partial 16S ribosomal RNA". It matches the Rfam family "Bacterial small subunit ribosomal RNA", at positions 524 to 776 of the family's 1533-position model. The record is from RNAcentral.